RNAcentral lists this long non-coding RNA (2993 nucleotides) under Lactuca sativa (garden lettuce). RNAcentral's name for it is "long non-coding RNA (LSAT_LNC000461)". Lineage: Eukaryota; Viridiplantae; Streptophyta; Magnoliopsida; Asterales; Asteraceae. The record is from RNAcentral.
UGCAACAUUCUAAUGAUUUUAAACAUCAUACACUCUACUUAUAAAAUUUAGCUAGACUUAUGACGUAAAUUGUAAACAAGAUAAAAACAUCAAUUUAUGAUAACAAACAACACAUAACAUUAUUGUAUUAGAGUAUUAUACAUAUACUUACUAUAAUAGAAAACAUAAAUUAUUAUUCUAAUAGAAUAUUAUUCGUACAACCUUUGAAUUUAAACUCAACUAAUAUGUGAAGGAUAUUACUAUCAUUACAUUACAUGUAUUAUUCUUUAACAUAUAACUAUUGUCCAACCUAAAUAUUGUUUUAUUAAACUUCCACUUAUCUUCAGACCUUCAAAUCAUAACUAUUGUUUAUCAAACAUUCAACCAUACAUAUUUUUCAAAAUAUAUAAAAUAUAGCCAACAUUCAAAGAGAAUAAUACUCUUAAUAACGAUUAAAGUCUUGCAAAUAUUUUAUCAAGUCAAUCAAUAAUCCUCAUUCCCUUGCAUCCCUUCUUGCACCAUGUUAAGAUGCUUUCCUCAAUUAUAUUUUGCAAACUCCAUAGAUUGUUCAAUUAGUGCAUAUGCAGGUUAGCAUUUAGUUUGUCUGCAUCAUGAAAAGUAAAAUCAAUGUAAUCAAAUAUUAUUAGAAAAAAUAUCCAUCAUAUACAAACUAUAUUCAAUUAAUAAUAAACAUAAAAAAUUUGUAAGAUUUUAAAAUAAUUAACAAUAGAAAUUAUUUUAAAUAUUUUAGCAUAAAAGUAAUAACUUAAAAAGUCUAAUGAAAUCAUAAACAACUAGUGUGAAUAUUAGAACACUUUUGUUGAUUUUGAGUUUUCAUAAUAACUCAAAAUCUAUAAUCAUGACAGUUUUGAGUUACCUAUAGAAUUAAGAUCUAGUUGCAAAUAUGUUGAUGAUUUCACAUAUUCUACAUAAAUCAAGGUUUAAAUGAUAUGUUUUAUAAUAAUAUAUUCCAUUAUAUUAUGAGUUUUAGAGAUAACUCUAUAGUAAAAUAUCUCAAUUAGAAUACAUGGUGGAAGAUACAUAAUGAUUUUGACUAAAACCAAUAGUAUAAUGAGAAUAUAGAGUUCCAUAAAUUAUUUCAUACAUGAAUUAUAGUAACGUAAAAUCAUAAAGAAAGAUAAAUUUGAUGAUUACAACACAUUAACUUAAAAUCACACGCUAAGAUAAACCCGUGAAGAGAUUAUAGUAUUAUACGUUACCUAUAUAACUCUAUAUGCAAACUUUAAAUCUGAUUGUGUAGAAUAAGCAAUUUGCUAGAAUAACAAGCUUCAGUUUCUUUAAUUUAGGAAUGGUUGAUGAUCUGAAACUUGAUCUGAUUUCAGAAUCAUAAUCACAAGGUUAAAAACCCAAAUGAGAAGGAAUAAGAAAUUGUGUUAAAUCAGAUUGCCUAGAAUAUUUAUGUAUUAAACCAUAUUUUAAUGUAUGUGUACUACAUUAUCUAAUUAAUCAACAAAAUAACAUUAGAACUCAAGUUUUACUAAUCAUAAUACUUAGAAUAUUACAUACUUUAAAUAAGAAUAUGACAUAUACUUUCAGAAUAUAUGGCAUUGUUUCAUUAUUUUAACUGAAAACUAUACUAUAAUUAGAACAUGUAGUUUUAUAGAAUAUUUCAUAGGUGUAUACAUUAACUCAAAAUCAUGUAGAGAGAUAAAUUUCACGAUUAUAACACAUUAACUCAAAAUCACAUUAUAAGAUAAAAAAGAGAAGAGAUAACUCUCAAUGCAAAAUUUGAAUCCAAUUAUGUAGAAUAAGCCAUUUGCUAGAAUAAUAAGCUUCGGUUUCUUUUAUUUAGGAAUGGUUGAUGACUCGAAAUUUGAUAUGGUUUCAGAAUCAUAAUCACAAAGUUGAAAAUCCAAAUCACACGGAAUAAGAAAUUGUAUUAAAUCAGAAUGCCUGGAUAUUUAUGUAUUAAAUCUUAUUUUAAUGUAUGCGUACUGCAUUAUCUAAUUAAUCAACAAAAUUUCAUUUAAACUCAAAACUAAUCAAAAUACGUAGAAUAUUACAUAUUUUAAAUCAGAAUAUGACACAUAAAUUCAGAAUAUAUAUGGAAUUGCUUCAUCAUUAACCAAGUACUAUCACAAUACUUCAUAAAAAGGUCCAAAGCAAAGUUGUUUCCAAUAAAACAAGAAUGUAUAAAAUCAGAUAUUACACAUCAUUUAACAAAGAUGAUACAAGAAAGCUGUUUCCAACAUAAUCGUAAUGUUUAAAGCUGUAAUGUAACACAUAAUUUCAUAAUAUUUCACAUUAUCUCAUAACGAAAGGUUUAAAGAGAUUAGUUUCUAACAAAUGUACAUCCAAAAUCUAAAAGGAAAGCAAGAUCUGACUUAUCUAAUCAUAAGAUGUAUAAUAUUAAAUUAAAUUACUUAACUGUCACCAGACCAUAAAAAUUAAUCAAACAAAAUAACACCUAAAAUCAAAUUAUAUUUAAAAUACAUGCCUUCUGACGAUGAUUCUGUUGAACCAUCGAUAAUAUAUGAUGAAUGUGCGAUUUCUAGUGUUUUUCACUGUUAAAACUCGAAUAACAGGGUAUGGUUUUUCACCAGAUCCUCUAAUUAAUCAAUCAAAUUAAUAACACCUAAAUCAAAUUAUAUUUUAAAAUACCUGCAAUCUGAAUAUGAUUCAGUUGAACCAUCGAUAAUUUAUGAUGAAGCUGCAACCUCUAAUGUUUUUCGCAGCUAAAACUCGAACUAAAGGCUACAGUUUUUCAAUCCUAUGGUUUUGUCGAUGCUUGGGGUUUUCUGAGUACCGAUCCAUUCGUUUUCUUGAUGAUGAGUGCGAUUAUUAGGGGAUUUUGUUGAAAAGCUAUGAAAUGAAGAUUGAUAAAUGAUUUUGAUCGAUAAGAAUUUGAAGGGGAGAAGGAUAUUAACGAACUCAAAGAAAUUGGGAAGAAGAAGGAAGUGAAUGGUAAAAUGAUCAGAUCCAAUCUAUUGAGUGAAAAGUACAACUCUACCCCUCCGUGUAUUUCAAUUAAGCAUGGAUUUCUACAUAAUUUC